GGUGAAGUUUUGGGUUGCGGGCCAGAGGUGCUUUUACAUUUUGCUAUUUGAAUCUUUGUAAAUGCACUAUCUGGUACGACACUCCAGAGCCAAGUUUAGC
This 100-nucleotide microRNA precursor is filed under the name Trialeurodes vaporariorum (greenhouse whitefly). RNAcentral's name for it is "microRNA mir-277". The stretch from base 4 to 92 matches the Rfam family "mir-277 microRNA precursor family". The record is from RNAcentral. Lineage: Eukaryota; Metazoa; Arthropoda; Insecta; Hemiptera; Aleyrodidae.